UAAAUGGUCCUUUUCAGGGCCACAAAUUAUCUUAAAACUAAAGGAA
This is a non-coding RNA of Apis mellifera (honey bee), 46 nucleotides long. NCBI's taxonomy places the organism in Eukaryota, Metazoa, Arthropoda, Insecta, Hymenoptera, Apidae. The record is from Rfam.